CCUGGCUCAGGACGAACGCUGGCGGCGCGCCUAACACAUGCAAGUCGAACGAGAGAUGAGGAGCUUGCUCUUCAAAUCGAGUGGCGAACGGGUGAGUAACGCGUGAGGAACCUGCCUCAAAGAGGGGGACAACAGUUGGAAACGACUGCUAAUACCGCAUAAGCCCACGGCUCGGCAUCGAGCAGAGGGAAAAGGAGCAAUCCGCUUUGAGAUGGCCUCGCGUCCGAUUAGCUAGUUGGUGAGGUAACGGCCCACCAAGGCGACGAUCGGUAGCCGGACUGAGAGGUUGAACGGCCACAUUGGGACUGAGACACGGCCCAGACUCCUACGGGAGGCAGCAGUGGGGAAUAUUGCACAAUGGGGGAAACCCUGAUGCAGCGACGCCGCGUGGAGGAAGAAGGUCUUCGGAUUGUAAACUCCUGUUGUUGAGGAAGAUAAUGACGGUACUCAACAAGGAAGUGACGGCUAACUACGUGCCAGCAGCCGCGGUAAAACGUAGGUCACAAGCGUUGUCCGGAAUUACUGGGUGUAAAGGGAGCGCAGGCGGGAGAACAAGUUGGAAGUGAAAUCCAUGGGCUCAACCCAUGAACUGCUUUCAAAACUGUUUUUCUUGAGUAGUGCAGAGGUAGGCGGAAUUCCCGGUGUAGCGGUGGAAUGCGUAGAUAUCGGGAGGAACACCAGUGGCGAAGGCGGCCUACUGGGCACCAACUGACGCUGAGGCUCGAAAGUGUGGGUAGCAAACAGGAUUAGAUACCCUGGUAGUCCACACCGUAAACGAUGAUUACUAGGUGUUGGAGGAUUGACCCCUUCAGUGCCGCAGUUAACACAAUAAGUAAUCCACCUGGGGAGUACGACCGCAAGGUUGAAACUCAAAGGAAUUGACGGGGGCCCGCACAAGCAGUGGAGUAUGUGGUUUAAUUCGACGCAACGCGAAGAACCUUACCAAGUCUUGACAUCCCUUGACGAUGCUGGAAACAGUAUUUCUCUUCGGAGCAAGGAGACAGGUGGUGCAUGGUUGUCGUCAGCUCGUGUCGUGAGAUGUUGGGUUAAGUCCCGCAACGAGCGCAACCCUUAUGGUCAGUUACUACGCAAGAGGACUCUGGCCAGACUGCCGUUGACAAAACGGAGGAAGGUGGGGAUGACGUCAAAUCAUCAUGCCCUUUAUGACUUGGGCUACACACGUACUACAAUGGCGUUAAACAAAGAGAAGCAAGACCGCGAGGUGGAGCAAAACUCAGAAACAACGUCCCAGUUCGGACUGCAGGCUGCAACUCGCCUGCACGAAGUCGGAAUUGCUAGUAAUCGUGGAUCAGCAUGCCACGGUGAAUACGUUCCCGGGCCUGUACACACCGCCC
RNAcentral lists this ribosomal RNA (1355 nucleotides) under uncultured bacterium. RNAcentral describes it as "bacterial SSU rRNA". It matches the Rfam family "Bacterial small subunit ribosomal RNA", at positions 18 to 1395 of the family's 1533-position model. The record is from RNAcentral.